This is a non-coding RNA of Triticum aestivum (bread wheat), 182 nucleotides long. The record is from Rfam. NCBI's taxonomy places the organism in Eukaryota, Viridiplantae, Streptophyta, Magnoliopsida, Poales, Poaceae.
CAAAUACUCCCUCCGUCCGGAAAUACUUGUCAUCAAAAUGGAUAAAAGGAAAUGUAUCUAGACGUAUUUUAGUUUUAGAUACAUCUCUUUUUAUCCAUUUNUAUCUAGACGUAUUUUAGUUUUAGAUACAUCUCUUUUUAUCCAUUUUGAUGACAAGUAUUUUCGGACAGAGGGAGUAGAAA